Molecule: ribosomal RNA, 166 nt
Filed under: Ceratobasidiaceae sp.
Lineage: Eukaryota; Fungi; Basidiomycota; Agaricomycetes; Cantharellales; Ceratobasidiaceae
Description: partial large subunit ribosomal RNA
Rfam family: Eukaryotic large subunit ribosomal RNA
Source: RNAcentral
GGCAACAGCUCAAAUUUGAAAUCUGGCCCCCUCGGGGCCCGAGUUGUAGUCUAGAGAAGCAUCAUCCGUGCUGGACCAUGUACAAGUCUCUUGGAACAGAGCGUCAUAGAGGGUGAGAAUCCCGUCCUUGACAUGGACUCCCAGUACUUUGUGUUGUGCUCUCAAC